Molecule: ribosomal RNA, 275 nt
Filed under: uncultured bacterium
Lineage: Bacteria
Description: partial 16S ribosomal RNA
Rfam family: Bacterial small subunit ribosomal RNA
Source: RNAcentral
CCUACGGGGGGCUGCAGUGGGGAAUCUUGCACAAUGGGGGAAACCCUGAUGCAGCGACGCCGCGUGAGCGAUGAAGCCCUUCGGGGUGUAAAGCUCUUUCGACCGGGACGAUAAUGACGGUACCGGGAGAAGAAGCUGCGGCUAACUACGUGCCAGCAGCCGCGGUAAUACGUAGGCAGCGAGCGUUGUUCGGAGUUACUGGGCGUAAAGCGUGCGUAGGCGGUGCUCUAAGUCUGUUGUGAAAUCUCCCGGCUCAACCGGGAGGGUGCGGCGGA